RNAcentral lists this ribosomal RNA (556 nucleotides) under Trichoderma harzianum. RNAcentral's name for it is "eukaryotic LSU rRNA". The stretch from base 166 to 319 matches the Rfam family "5.8S ribosomal RNA". The record is from RNAcentral. Lineage: Eukaryota; Fungi; Ascomycota; Sordariomycetes; Hypocreales; Hypocreaceae.
CCAAACUGUUGCCUCGGCGGGAUCUCUGCCCCGGGUGCGUCGCAGCCCCGGACCAAGGCGCCCGCCGGAGGACCAACCAAAACUCUUAUUGUAUACCCCCUCGCGGGUUUUUUUAUAAUCUGAGCCUUCUCGGCGCCUCUCGUAGGCGUUUCGAAAAUGAAUCAAAACUUUCAACAACGGAUCUCUUGGUUCUGGCAUCGAUGAAGAACGCAGCGAAAUGCGAUAAGUAAUGUGAAUUGCAGAAUUCAGUGAAUCAUCGAAUCUUUGAACGCACAUUGCGCCCGCCAGUAUUCUGGCGGGCAUGCCUGUCCGAGCGUCAUUUCAACCCUCGAACCCCUCCGGGGGGUCGGCGUUGGGGAUCGGCCCUCCCUUAGCGGGGUGGCCGUCUCCGAAAUACAGUGGCGGUCUCGCCGCAGCCUCUCCUGCGCAGUAGUUUGCACACUCGCAUCGGGAGCGCGGCGCGUCCACAGCCGUUAAACACCCAACUUCUGAAAUGUUGACCUCGGAUCAGGUAGGAAUACCCGCUGAACUUAAGCAUAUCAAUAAGCCGGAGGAA